This 1022-nucleotide long non-coding RNA is filed under the name Eucalyptus grandis. RNAcentral's name for it is "long non-coding RNA (EGRA_LNC003635)". Lineage: Eukaryota; Viridiplantae; Streptophyta; Magnoliopsida; Myrtales; Myrtaceae. The record is from RNAcentral.
ACUUUCCUUUUUUUCCCCUAAGGAAAAGUGGCGUAGAGAAUGUGAUUAUGCCCCCAAGUGGUUGAUGGUAAGUAAGCUAUGCAUCAAAAGAUUAUUCUACUACAAAUUUAAUGCAUCUUGCUUUGUACUUGUCCUUUUCUUGGGGAGGUCUUAAGGAAUGGAACUCCACUCUAUGGUGAUCAACGCUGGACAUUGGAGAGUCGAUUCAAAAGGGUCCAUCACAUCUUCAGGCAUCCACAGAUUCUUCGUCAUUGCUCACCAUGGAACUUCCUUUGCUCAGGAACCCACAUCUUUCAAGUUGCAUCCUGGUGGGGUCAAUAUCAACACUCGAGGCUUCCAUUAAUGGAGAGGUUCCUAGAAGUUUGCUUGGUGAAGCUGAGGAUGAGGAAUGAAUGACAAGCAUAACUUUUUUAACCAAAAGUGGAAUAUCCCUCCCCAUCCAUGUACCCACUUCCCUAAUAUAGUGGUAGGUCGUUCAUGGUGGCCCUUCUUCUUUGGCUCUAUAAUCUUGGAAGCAACAAGCGUUAUCGUUCCUUUUUCUGGCCAGGUGCACUAGCGUUCUUACAGGUGUAACCAGACACAUCAUUAUUUUGUUCCUAGGAAAACAGUGUAAUUCUCUUUUCUUCCACUUUAGGUUGGUUUCCCUUGGAUUUGUUCCUGCGUGAUUGAUCAAAAGAUGGAGAGACGACGACUCUCCCAUUGCUUCCCCCACUUUUUUCUUAAGAAAAGACAAGAUCAGGAGAUGGUUGUGGAAAAAAGGACCAGUUGAAAAAAAUGGAAAGGGACUUGACGUUGGUGUUUCUGCUGGUAAUCGUAGUAUCCUGGACCCUAGGGUUUUACUUUGCAGGUAUGGCACAUGAUAAACAUGGAUGAUCAUAACUUUGCACACAAGCAACCAAGAGACGUGGCGAAACCCUAAUAUAGUCAUAUUCAGAUGAAUAUCUGGUCAAAAUUACAGAAAAACGACUCCGAAAAUGUAUGAUUUCCUAAAAUACAUGCUUUUUAGCUUUGUUCUUCUAUAU